Long non-coding RNA from Rhinopithecus roxellana (golden snub-nosed monkey), 374 nucleotides. RefSeq lists it as uncharacterized. The record is from RefSeq and is a predicted model, not a curated record. The transcript has 3 exons. NCBI's taxonomy places the organism in Eukaryota, Metazoa, Chordata, Mammalia, Primates, Cercopithecidae.
GGUAUCUAUCUGCCUGGGAAGAGAUUGUCAUGUUGCUGAAGAAUAGCAAGCAGAAAUUCAGUUCUCACAUUCUGAAUUAGAAUAUGAGCCAAGCUAUCAAUCUUCAGAGGUUUUGUUGAAAACCUGUUGGAGAAGUGUUAGUUCCUUGGGUCAGCUCCUUCAAGUUUGCAUCGGGAUGCCUGCUUUCACCCACCCCAGUGAGACUUGCUCACUCUUAUCUUCCAGGUGUCCCAGGGCAUCUAUCUGCCUGGAAAGAGACUGAGAUGUCGCUGAAGGAUAACAAGCAGAUGUUCAAUUCUAACGUUCCAAAUUAGAAUAUUGGCGUGGUCAGCAGGAUCUGAAGCAGAACUCCAGUGAUUCCCAGGGGGACCGGC